GCUAUUGCUUUCACUCCUCAUUGGUCUCUCUGCCUACUCCUCUCCUCUUUCAUCUAAUUCACAGCCGCAACUAAGCCCUCAGGUGUCCUUUUCCCUCCCUCCGGUGCAUCCCUGCUAAUCUCAAUUAUUCUCUUAUAAAGAGUAAAUUUUUGGUCCAGCCUCCAUCGAUCUUUAGUUUGUUUUAACAAAUGACCAUGUAUGUAACAAGCAUUUAAGAAUGUCAAUCUGAGAUCUAAUCUUAGUUUUCAUUGUUUUCCAAUUUAAGACUUUUUUUUUUUAGAUUAAACUUGCUUUUCCAUUGAUCUCAAAAAAGAUGUACAAUAUUACUAUCCAGCAACAUUUGGACUAGCUACUGAUCUAUACUCAAUGCUAACAGUGUAACUAUAC
Molecule: long non-coding RNA, 387 nt
Filed under: Nicotiana benthamiana
Lineage: Eukaryota; Viridiplantae; Streptophyta; Magnoliopsida; Solanales; Solanaceae
Description: long non-coding RNA (NBEN_LNC030505)
Source: RNAcentral